Nicotiana tabacum (common tobacco) is the source of this 818-nucleotide non-coding RNA. The record is from RefSeq and is a predicted model, not a curated record. NCBI's taxonomy places the organism in Eukaryota, Viridiplantae, Streptophyta, Magnoliopsida, Solanales, Solanaceae.
AACCUGCGUCCCCUCAUUCUUAAAGAUGAGCUACACACAGACGAAAAAAAAAGGAGGAGAGGGAGUGGUUGCGCUUUUUUUUCUUCUGGAUUCGACGCACAGAGCACAACUUUUCUUCCUCCAUAAAUGACCCAAAAAAAAAAUCCCAGCUCAAACCUAGCAGAAAUUCAACCCCCAAAAAACGCAUCUGCCCCUUUUCCAUAACCACGCUUUCUCGAAAUUUUCUGGACAAAAGAUCUCUUCAAGUUUUCCGGCGCCGUUCGAGUGUUGUUACUGGUUCGCGGUUCUGUCCGAAUUCAAUAGUCGAUUCUCGUCCGCAUUUUGGAGUCGAAAACAGUGUAUCCGUUUGGUUCUGCAACUGCUAUUAAGGAAAUUUUGUCCUAACAGGGUCUUGAAUUCUCUGUUCGUGUUAGUGCUGAAUUGAGCGAGGAGGAGCAAUUUAGGAAAAAAAAAGUGUGUGUUAGAAAGUAGGUAAAUAACUCGGUCAUAAUUUUAGCUCCAAGGAUGGAACGCAAUUGAAAGCACAAAUUGAUCGGGUGGGGUAGUAUCUUUAAGGGCUCUUCCGAUAACUUUGAUCUUUUACCUUUCUUAGCACCUGUAUUCUUUAAGUGAUUGAAUGUGUGCUUAUCUAGAUUUAUCCUGUAUUUUCGCCAUUUGUAUGUAGAAUGUGAAUUGCUUGUUGGUUUGUGGGAGUUGGGAAAGACUUAGCCCAUUAGUAAUCAAAUAUUUUUGGCAUGUUUUAGGAAUUGGGCUCGGUCCAAACACAUGAAAAAUGAAAAGUCAAAAGAAUUUUAGCAUGAUUUAGAAAUUUUCUUUUA